CUACGUGCCAGCAGCCGCGGUAAUACGUAGGGCGCGAGCGUUGUCCGGAAUUAUUGGGCGUAAAGAGCUUGUAGGCGGUUUGUCGCGUCUGCUGUGAAAGGCCGGAGCUUAACUCCGUGUAUUGCAGUGGGUACGGGCAGACUAGAGUGCAGUAGGGGAGACUGGAAUUCCUGGUGUAGCGGUGGAAUGCGCAGAUAUCAGGAGGAACACCGAUGGCGAAGGCAGGUCUCUGGGCUGUAACUGACGCUGAGGAGCGAAAGCAUGGGGAGCGAACAGGAUUAGAUACCCUGGUAGUCCAUGCCGUAAACGUUGGGCACUAGGUGUGGGGGACAUUCCACGUUUUCCGCGCCGUAGCUAACGCAUUAAGUGCCCCGCCUGGGGAGUACGGCCGCAAGGCUAAAACUCAAAGAAAUUGACGGGGGCCCGCACAAGCGGCGGAGCAUGCGGAUUAAUUCGAUGAUACGCGAGGAACCUUACCCGGGCUUGAAUUGCAGAGGAAUUAUUUAGAGAUA
RNAcentral lists this ribosomal RNA (512 nucleotides) under uncultured bacterium. RNAcentral describes it as "bacterial SSU rRNA". It matches the Rfam family "Bacterial small subunit ribosomal RNA", at positions 501 to 1008 of the family's 1533-position model. The record is from RNAcentral.